CAAAUACCUGGGAUCUUACCUCUCAAAGAGGAUGCAGUUUGUGGUAGGGAACAGUGUCGUUGUUCAAACAUGGGAUCAGAAGGACCAUGAUUACCGUUAUUAUUUUGGUGAAUUAAUUUGACCGUGUCCUUGACCAAUUGUUUCUUAAAAGCUGGGGUUGGGAUUAAAACUAAAAUCUCCUGCCAACCCAGAUCCUCUCCAGAAAUGUAGAAAUGAGGAACAGUUUUGUUGUUGAAUGACCAUUAAGUCAAGACACUGUUACGCAUUAGCACGGGGACCACUAGUGAGACUGCAAAGAGAGAAAAGGACCUCAUCUUUUUAUCCAGCUCAACACAGAUAAUCCAGUGAAGGAUGGCGGCUUCUCUGAGCAGCUUGGAAGGGCCACGGUGAAGUUGAACGGAGGGCCCGUCAGCCUGGGUCCCCGGCCUCCGCUGCUCACUUGUACUACUGAAUACCGUCAUGUCUAAAAAUCAAAUACUCGAACCCAGUUUCCCACCUCAACAAAGAAAAUGAGACAGUGCUCCCGAAGUGUCUUAUGAAUGACAAAUCUUUAUUUCAAAAGACUUUUUCUAACAUAAAUGGGCACACUGAUGUUUAGACAACUUUUUGUAAGACUUGGCAGAUGGGCGAUGAAUCCCAGAGUCCAGCGAACCUUCUUUGGGGAUCCACCAAGAAUACCUCAGCCAUGAGGGAGGGGGGUAUAAAAGUUAACGAGCAAGAUUUGCCCGUAAUAAUUAGCUUCAGACACCAGACCUUCGAGGGCAACAGCUAGCACCUCUCCUCCAUGUCCCCGUCACGGAGUUCUCUUCUGUGAUUUAGCAGUCGCUGUCAUUCUCCCAGGGGUUUUUCUAGGUCUUUCAGGUCACAGAAGGGGAGGUACAGUGACCACUGUUCCCUGGAGGAUGACAGAACGGGCAGAUGGGCAGCCCCUGGCAAGGGGUGAGCUUCCUGGAGGAGAGGGCAGUUUCUUCACGGGCACAUGCACCAUUGGGUGGGUGCUCAGGACAAACUCUGAUCGCAGGUCUCCUUGUCCACAUCAGCACCGAGGCUGCUGGAUGGGUUGUCGUGCGCCAGUUGGCAGGAGGAUUGGAGGCUGGUUCAGAAGGCCCGCUCAGCAUGGACUCAGCCUGGCCACAGCCCUGCCACGUGAGGCCCAGAUCAUAGCUGACCUCCCUCCUGUUUAUUUCACUCAGCAGUGACGUUGCUUUCUUUAGGAUCCCCAUUGCCCUGACCAGGAUGGCACAUCCAACCCGGAGAUUUGCAAAUCCGAGUGUGCGUCCAUGAGAAAGUUAAAUCAGGCCCCACCUCAGUUCUGUUAGAAUCUAUGGGGCUGGGUCCAGGCAUCUGUAUUUGAAUUUCUCCAUGUGACCCUCACGUGGAAAGGACGGUGUUUGUACAGCACUUCUGCUUCACUCUGCUGAUAUUUCUGCCCUGUCGCUACAGCCACUGUGGUGAAACCGCUCCACAGGAGGAGUUUCCCCCAAACAUGUCACACCCAAUGUGGGCUCUUUAGUCCACUUUUGAACAACGUACUAAUGUCUUAAGAUGUCUUAACAAUGUCUUAAGAUGGGCGCUGCCUAGAUGUGACCUAUCUAGACAAGGUGGCUAUUUCCUGCACUUUGUACUUGCAUGUGCUCCCCAUCUUCACAGAAACAUCAUAUUCUGUCUUGAAUUGGAGAGUCCUCCAUGUCGCCUUUUUGUGCAUGUGGUAUUUUAUUCAUAGGAUACACAAAUGGUAGUGAAAUUUCUGGGUCAAGAGUGAUACACAUAGUUAAAAAUUUGUUCCGUAGAUUAGAGUUUCUCAACUGCAAUUGAGGGGCAGACUUUAGGCAAUCCACAGACUCCUUGAGAUUGGAGACACCAUGUGAAGUGUCAGGGUAUAUGUGUGUGUGUGAGCACAUGCACGGUUUUCCAUGGUCUUAGGUGCUCAAAAUGUCCCUUGACUCAAAGAUGCCUGAGGGUAGAGGCUGUGUGUCCCCAGCACAGAAUCCUGAGCAGAGUGUCAGGAAACACGGAGCAGAAGAGCUUGGCCAAAUUGAGUGUUUGAGUAACUUCUUAAUCCAGAAGUCAAUGUACCUGGGAUGGUUUUUACAUACUUAUUUCACUCUUGUAAGGUCUUCCCAUUUCCGCUUCCCCUCAGUGUUCCUCCUCACUCUCCUCCCUCCCCCACAGACUAUGCUCUGAAAUAGGAUCAGGAAGGAGGGAGAGAGUCCAACGUGUCUCCAGUCUAGAAUGGAGAGAACAGGGCAUCUGCUGGGGAGGGAUGACGAGGCAUCCGGACCCCUGGAGGAUUGGCUGAGGAGGAUGGUCAGAGGUGGGGUCAGUGGCAGGAGUUCUCGCUUACCCCUGAUCUCCAGGAGAAGUGCACACAUUGGUUUGGCAGUUACUCGCAUUUUCCUUCAAACUGGUUGCCAG
Molecule: long non-coding RNA, 2415 nt
Organism: Equus asinus (donkey)
Lineage: Eukaryota; Metazoa; Chordata; Mammalia; Perissodactyla; Equidae
Source: Ensembl